Molecule: ribosomal RNA, 500 nt
Filed under: uncultured bacterium
Lineage: Bacteria
Description: partial 16S ribosomal RNA
Rfam family: Bacterial small subunit ribosomal RNA
Source: RNAcentral
ACUCAAAGGAAUUGACGGGGGCCCGCACAAGCGGUGGAGCAUGUGGUUCAAUUCGAAGCAACGCGCAGAACCUUACCAACCCUUGACAUGUCCCGUAUGAGGAGCAGAGAUGCACUUCUUCAGUUCGGCUGGCGGGAACACAGGUGCUGCAUGGCUGUCGUCAGCUCGUGUCGUGAGAUGUUGGGUUAAGUCCCGCAACGAGCGCAACCCUCGCCUCUAGUUGCCAUCAUUUAGUUGGGCACUCUAAAGGGACUGCCGGUGAUAAGCCGGAGGAAGGUGGGGAUGACGUCAAGUCCUCAUGGCCCUUACGGGUUGGGCUACACACGUGCUACAAUGGCGGUGACAGAGGGCAGCGAGUCCGCGAGGACAAGCUAAUCCCCAAAAGCCGUCUCAGUUCGGAUUGCACUCUGCAACUCGGGUGCAUGAAGUCGGAAUCGCUAGUAAUCGCUAAUCAGCAGGUAGCGGUGAAUACGUUCCCGGGCCUUGUACACACCGCCCGU